AACAAUACUAAACUAUCAAUUACUACCAAUAUCAACUAAUUAUGCUUCAGAUGUAGAUAAAAUAAUAGUAAACAGUGAAACAAUUCAAAUAUUUUUAUUUUAAUUGUUCUAAAUCCAGUCUCAAAUAGUAUGCAAAUGGUAUUAACAAUAAUUUUGAGACGAUUAUGUAAAAUACAUAUAAUUUAUUUUUUAAAAGUGUAAAAUCCCAAAUACCAACAAAUACUAAGAGAUUGGAGGGAAAGGUAUUGAGAAGUGUCAUCGUGCUAACCAAUUCAUCUUGCCUAGUUGCAAAAGUCAAUCAAGAAUUAUUGAUCCUAUUUUUUCUUAACUUGUGAAAUAUUUAAAGGAAACAUAUUUUUAAAAAAUCUAGCUAUAUAUUGUUUACAGGAGAUAUACUAUAAUAAAAUGACUCAGGAAAGGUACAAUAAAAGGCUUGGGCAAAAUACAUGAGUGAAUGUAAACAAAAUAAAUUUCAGAAAAUAAGCAAAGUAGAAUAUAGGCAAAAAAAGUUUAAUCAUUUACAAAUCAUUCUAUGUUAGUAAAGACUUUACUCCACAGUGGAGAUAUGUCAGUCAGAACUGUCUACUGAAUAAUAAAAUCAAGAUAUAUGAGGGUAAAUUUGACUGAAAUUUAAAACAGAUAUUGAUAGAAAUAAAGUAUUAGCCUAACACCACAAGAGCUAUUUUAGUUCUUAACAGAUAAUAGAAAAUUAAAUAACACUGAAAAUAAAUAUAUACUGAAACUAAUACCCUAGAAAAAGUACCUUCUUUUCCAGAAUUCAUGAUAUAUGUAUAUAAAAUUGAUAAUGUGUUAUGCUUUAAAGAAAGUCUCAAUAAAUAUCAGUAAAUUAAAAUUAUUCAGGCAAUUUUGACAAUUACAUAAGAAUAAUUAGAAAUUAAUAGCAAAAGUAAAACAAAAUAAAACAAGACAUAAUUUGAAAGAAAACGCUGGCAAGUAAUUCAAACCAAAGGAGAAAAAUCUUAACUGUAACUACAGGGAAUUUAGAGUAUAAUGAGCAUGAGAACACUGUACCUUAAAAACUUACAAUGAGACUUGACCAAAUUAGUAAUUAGAGGAAUACUUACAAUCAUAAAAAAAGAAUAAAGGAUAAUAAAUAAUAUGAAUAAAAACUCAAGAAACAAGAAAUCUAACCUAAGGAAAGGAUAAAAAAUAAAAGUAGAAAUUAAUGAAUUUAUAAACCAAAAAUUGUAGGCUUGAUAAAUGAAUCUAAGAGCUGAUUCUUUAGCGAGCAUAAAGUAAGUAAAAUAAACAAGACUCUAGGUUAUUAAUAUGGCUUAAGCUCAGUGUAGCCUGUAUUCUCAAAUUAAUUGUUAUUUAUAUACUGUAAGACAAGAAGUUUAUGCAAGAAUGUAAAUUGACUAAGUCACUAAACACACUGUCGACGUUCACUAACUUUUUGCUUUUGUAAGUCUUUCUUGAAGCAGUGCAUUGAUUUAUCUCCUGGUGCAAGCUGCUGAGGACUGGUUGAACUAGCUCUGCUAUUAAUCUAAAAUAGAAUGCACAAUAUACAAAAUUAAUAAAGAACAAAGGGAUUGUCUUUUUGAUACAGAUAAAAAAUUUACGAUGUAAUAUUAGUUUAAUAUAUAAUGCUAGAUUAAAAUGUUUCAAACUCAUAUAAAUGAAUAAUCUUCAAAAGAAAAUAAUAAAUUGACAUGCAUAAACAUAUAAAGCCUAUAAAAUGAAGUGUUUAAUAAAUAAAAAUUAUCUCCAAGAAAAAAAAACUGUCCUCACAUGGUUGCCUAGCAAAUUGGUGUUAGCCUUCCAUAUACGAAUAAUUACCAUAUUAUGUACAUUGUCCAGAGUAUAAAGUAAAUAGGGCAACUUCUUCAUAAACCUGAUAGCAAAGAUAGCAUAACUUUGACAUGGUGCAAAAAAUUAAGCAGCAAACCAAUCUUAGGUACAAUAAUCUUAGUUAUAAUUUUAAAUGUAAAAGCUCUAAACAAAAUUUUAAGAAAUAGAAUCCAACCUUUAUACAUAUCACCACCAAGAAAGCUUUAAUGUAGAAAUAUAAAUAUAGUUCAAAUAGAAAAUCUGCUAAUAUCAUCCAUCACAGAAAUAUAUGAAAUGAGGAAACCAUAUUAUUAUCUUAAUAGAUUUCAAGCAUGCAGUCAAUAAAUCAAUAGUAUUUUCUGAUUACACACACACAUACACACAAGCAUACAUGCAUACAAAGCUAUCUAGAAAGAUAAGAAUAUUUCUUUAAUGUGAUAUAGAAUAUGCUCCUCAAAACAAGAGCCAGCAUCAUAUUCAAGGAUGACACACCAAAAGAACAACUGCAGUCACCACUUGUAUUGGAAAUUGUUCUGAAAAUACAAGACAACUCAGUAAAUGAGAAGAAAAAUAUUGGAAUAUUUAUAAGAAAGGGAGAAGCUAUAUUAUGUUAUCAUUUUGGUUCUUUGAUUCUUUACUUGGACUGAUAUGAGAAUCCAUGAAAUAUUUAGAAUGAAUGAAGGUUUAGCAAAUGACUGAAAUUACAUUGUGUAUGAACUAUUAAAAGUAUAACUAUAUAGUUUUCCAUAUAACAUAUAUGUAAAUAAAAUAUAUACAACUAUUAACUAACUAAUAUGCCAAUAAUAAUAAUUUGGAAAAUAUAGUGGAAAAAAUAACAUUGCCAAUAAUAAUAAAAUAUGUAACUAGAAAUUAACAACAAAAAUUGUGAGCCCAUGUGAAGAAAAUUUCACCAUAAGAUACCAAAAAAGUGAAUAAAUGGAGUCGUUCUUUGUUAUAAAGAUGUAAUUAACCCAUAAUUAAUUGAUGGAUUUAAUAAAAUUUUAUUUUUUGGAACUGUG
Molecule: transfer RNA, 2810 nt
Filed under: Homo sapiens (human)
Lineage: Eukaryota; Metazoa; Chordata; Mammalia; Primates; Hominidae
Description: long non-coding RNA NONHSAT154225
Source: RNAcentral